Molecule: long non-coding RNA, 1333 nt
Organism: Manacus vitellinus (golden-collared manakin)
Lineage: Eukaryota; Metazoa; Chordata; Aves; Passeriformes; Pipridae
Exons: 3
Source: RefSeq, a predicted model, not a curated record
CUUGCAAUCAAACCUGCAACUUGAGGCUAGCCUGAGUUGCUUGGCAGUUUUAUGCUGAACACUGGUUAGCUGCUGCCUGUCUUCAGCACCUUGGCCUGAGGAACAGAUGUACUCUUGUCCCCAGGGAGGGAGGACAGCUUGCUCUCUGUGCUCUGAAGUGACAGGAUGUGAGGCAGCUAUGAGCUGAAAGCCUUGCCCAGGCAUCAGUGGGACCAGCGUGUGCACCCCGUUAGGCUCCAAAUGUAGCCAGAGAAGGAAUAACACUUUGGCAUUUCUCCUGAUUUUGGGCAUUCGUGGGAAACUCACCCUGGUUGAAUUGGGAUUGUUUAAAAUGAUGAAUCAACUGCUAGGCUCAAGGAUAUUCUGAUGUAGAAAUAUGUUAGUUAUUUAAUAGAGAAAGAUAUGUAUUUAGGACCCACGAAUCAGGUAGUGUCCCUGAACUCAAAAUCAGCGUUGGAGCUGGACUUGUUUUGGGGGAGCGAGGACUACAGGGUUAACUUAGUUUUUUUUAAGUAAGUGGGCUUUUUGGGUUUUUUUUCCUUGUUUAUUUACGUAUACGAGCACAGUAAAGUCUCUCUCUCAACAGCCUGACCUUCCUCAGCUGCUAUUUGUGUAAACUUCAGUAUGACCUUUGCUUAUUUUAUUCUCGCUUUCACAGGCUCUGAGCUGAACAAUUACGUCCUCACGACUUUCUAGAAAGGAACACAGGCAAAACUGAGGUAUUGUGCUCUAAAGCUGAAAUCUUAAAAGUUUUCUUAACCCUAAAUCUGAUCCUGGAGGUCCUCCAGAAUCUGUGAGUUGGUACCUCAAAUCUUGGCCAGCAUAGCUCUUCCAGCACCUGAAAUGAUGCUUUUUCCCCUGAGACAUGCUGAAGUCUAGACAAUACCUUGACGUGUAACCUCAUAUUAGCCUGACUAUUCCCCAUAAUAUUAAUAAGCUUUAACACUUAUUUCUCCUAUGGUGAAAUGGUCACCUCCCAUGUGCUGGAACCGCCAACCAUAUGCCAAGGAGAUCAAGCUGUCAGAUUUGAGAAGAGCAUUGGGAGUAGUGCAUUGUGUCCAAUUCACUGUGCUUGCCAGCCUCUGGGAGAGCAGCUCAGCAGCAGCAGUGGUUGUGCUCUGCUGUUCCUGGGUCCCGUUGCUCGUUCCUGAUAAGCCAUCUCAGAGGGGAUGAUACCAGCCUGAAUUCCCUCUACUUUCCUCUGGUAAGGAGACAGAUGUGUCUUCCUGCUGCAUGAUAUGAUGGCAACUCUGAGUGCUGGACCAUGCUAUGGAAGACAAGUCUCUGCACUGAGGCACACCCCUAAUCCCAGAGGAGGAAGGCUUUUGGUUCA